GUGCUUGCUUUGGCAGCACAUAUAUUAAAAUUGAAAAGAUACAGAGAAGAUUAGCAUGGCCCCUGCACAAGGAUGACAUGCAAAUUUGUGAAACAUUCCAUAUUUUU
Molecule: small nuclear RNA, 107 nt
Filed under: Prolemur simus (greater bamboo lemur)
Lineage: Eukaryota; Metazoa; Chordata; Mammalia; Primates; Lemuridae
Source: RNAcentral